Molecule: ribosomal RNA, 559 nt
Filed under: uncultured bacterium
Lineage: Bacteria
Description: bacterial SSU rRNA
Rfam family: Bacterial small subunit ribosomal RNA
Source: RNAcentral
CCUACGGGAGGCAGCAGUAGGGAAUCUUGCGCAAUGGGCGAAAGCCUGACGCAGCCAUGCCGCGUGAAUGAUGAAGGUCUUAGGAUUGUAAAAUUCUUUCACCGGGGACGAUAAUGACGGUACCCGGAGAAGAGGCCCCGGCUAACUUCGUGCCAGCAGCCGCGGUAAUACGAAGGGGGCUAGCGUUGCUCGGAAUUACUGGGCGUAAAGGGAGCGUAGGCGGAUAGUUUAGUCAGAGGUGAAAGCCCAGGGCUCAACCUUGGAACUGCCUUUGAUACUGGCUAUCUUGAGUACGGGAGAGGUGAGUGGAACUCCGAGUGUAGAGGUGAAAUUCGUAGAUAUUCGGAAGAACACCAGUGGCGAAGGCGACUCACUGGCCCGUUACUGACGCUGAGGCUCGAAAGCGUGGGGAGCAAACAGGAUUAGAUACCCUGGUAGUCCACGCUGUAAACGAUGAGUGCUAGUUGUCGGCAUGCAUGCAUGUCGGUGACGCAGCUAACGCAUUAAGCACUCCGCCUGGGGAGUACGGUCGCAAGAUUAAACUCAAAGGAAUUGACGG